AAAGCUUGGCACAUACUUAUCUUUGCAGUUACCUAAAACAGGCCAGUCAUUUCAGGGUCCCCAGACUUAGUUCUCUAAUGAACUCUCUUCAAUCACAGAAUUCCCCCUCCUUACCUUAUACUCUUGCUUCAAGAUGCCUCCUAUCUUAGUCUGUUUGGUGAUGAUGCAACAGAAUACUACAGAUUGGGUAAUUAUAAUGAACAGAAAUUGUUUUGGCUCAUGGUUCUGGAGGCUGGGAAGUCCAGUAUCAAGGCACCAGCAUCUGACAAGGGUCAUCCCAUCGUGGAAAGUGGGAGGACAAGAGCAAGCAAGAGAGGGUCAAACUUGCUUUUAUAACAAACUCACUCUUUUUUUUUUUUUUUUUUUGAGACGGAGUCUUGCUCUGUUGCCCAGGCUGGAGUGCAGUGGCACGAUCUCGGCUCAUUGCAACCUCUGCCUCCUGGGUUCAAGCGAUUCUCCUGCCUCAGCCUCCUGAGUAGCUGGGACUACAGGCAUAUGCCACCAGGCCCAGCUAAUUUUUGUAUUUUUAGUAGAGAUGGGGUUUCACCAUGUUGGUGAAGCUGGUCUUGAACUCCUGACCUUGUGAUCUGCCCACCUUGGCCUCCCAAAGUGCUGGGAUUACAGGCGUGAGCCACCACAUCCGGCCAGCAGACUCACUCUUAAAAUAACGAACCCAUCCCCGAGAUCCAUUAGUCCAUUCAUGGGGAUGGAGCCCUCAUGAUCUAAUUACCUCUUAUUAGGCCUUACCUACCAACACUUGCUGCAUUGGGGAUUAAGUUUCUGUAUCAGUCCAUUUUCAUACUGCUAUGAAGAAAUACAUGAGACUGGUUAGUUUAUAAAGAAAAAGAGGUUUAAUGGACUCACAGUUCCACAUGGCUGGGGAGGUUUCACAAUCAUGGCGGAAGGUGAAGGAGGAACAAAGGCAUGUCUUACAUGGCAUCAGGCAAGAGUGUGUGUCCAGGGAAACUGCCCUUUAUAAAACCAUCAGCUCUCGUGAGACUUAAUUCAUCAUAGGAGGGGCAUGGGAAAGACCUGCCCCCAUAAUUCAAUUACCUCCCACCCGGUCCUUCCCACAACACAUGGGGAUUAUGGGAGCUACAAAUCAAGAUGAGAUUUGGACACAGCCAAACCAUACCAGUUUCCAACAUAUGAAUUUUGGGGGACACAUUUAAAUCAGAGGACCUCCUCAAAUGCCUCUCUUAGUACUGUUCUAAUCUGUAACAUCCAGCCUGGCCUUCAUUUUUAUGUAGUUGUGUGUGCUGAUUUUGCAUGUGCUUAUAUCAGCAGCCCCCUAGGGAAGGUCUAGGGAGCCUUGCUUGUCUAUGAUAAAUCAUUGGUUGGUUUUAAUGGUUUAAAUAGUCUUAGUUGGUUCAUCCUGUGGAACUACACAUGUAUUCCUUUGAUCCUAGUACUGGUCUCUGGGCUUAAUGUACAUUGGUUUAAAAAUACAUUAAUGAAAUGACUCAAAUUUGGGUGUUUUCAAUACCUUCCCUUAGUCCUGAGAAGAGGACUGUUUAAGAGCAAGAUAUGAGUUCAGAAAUUCCAUUUUCCAUUUUCUGAUUCUAUUUAUUUCCCCCAUUUCCACCCCUUAAUAGCUUCUACCCUCCUCAUCUUUGGAAGUUGUCCCAGAAGCAGCCCAGAACAAUCCAGGGGAGGAAGUCACAGAAACUGCAGGUGAAGGGUCAGAAUCCAUCAUUAAGAAAGAAACAGAAGAGAACAGUCACUGUGAUGCUAACACAGAGAUGCAGCAGAUUCUCACACGAGUUCGGCAGAACUUUGGUAAAAUCAACGUGGUGCCUCAGUUUUCUGGGGAUGACCUGGUUCCUGUGGAGGUGUCAGAUCUUGAGGAAGAACUUGAGAGCUUUUCUGAUGAAGAGGAGGAGGAACAGGAGCAACAAAGAGAUGAUGCGGAAGAGUCUUCCUCGGAGCCUGAGGAGGAACAUGUGGGAAACGACACCAAAGCCGUUAUUAAAGCACUGGAUGAGAAGAUUGCCAAAUAUCAGAAGUUUCUAGACAAAGCCAAAGCCAAAAAGUUUUCAGCAGUCAGAAUAUCCAAGGGACUGAGUGAAAAGAUAUUUGCAAAACCUGAAGAACAAAGAAAAACACUGGAAGAAGAUGUAGAUGACAGAGCACCUUCCAAAAAGGGAAAGAAGCGGAAGGCACAAAGGGAAGAGGAACAGGAACAUUCAAAUAAAGCUCCCAGGGCGCUUACAUCAAAAGAACGGAGGCGAGCAGUACGACAGCAACGGCCGAAAAAAGUUGGUGUGCGCUACUAUGAAACACACAACGUGAAAAAUAGGAACAGGAACAAAAAGAAGACCAAUGACUCAGAGGGACAGGAACACAAACACAAAAAAUUCAGACAAAAGCAGUAAUGUUUAAAAGGUUUUAUUAAAUUAUACAAAAACAUGC
RNAcentral lists this small RNA (2412 nucleotides) under Pan troglodytes (chimpanzee). RNAcentral describes it as "processed transcript". The record is from RNAcentral. Lineage: Eukaryota; Metazoa; Chordata; Mammalia; Primates; Hominidae.